UGGGGAAUAUUGGACGAUGGGCGAAAGCCUGAUCCAGCCAUGCCGCGUGUGUGAAGAAGGUCUUCGGAUUGUAAAGCACUUUAAGUUGGGAGGAAGGGUUGUAGAUUAAUACUCUGCAAUUUUGACGUUACCGACAGAAUAAGCACCGGCUAACUCUGUGCCAGCAGCCGCGGUAAUACAGAGGGUGCAAGCGUUAAUCGGAAUUACUGGGCGUAAAGCGCGCGUAGGUGGUUAGUUAAGUUGGAUGUGAAAUCCCCGGGCUCAACCUGGGAACUGCAUUCAAAACUGACUGACUAGAGUAUGGUAGAGGGUGGUGGAAUUUCCUGUGUAGCGGUGAAAUGCGUAGAUAUAGGAAGGAACACCAGUGGCGAAGGCGACCACCUGGACUGAUACUGACACUGAGGUGCGAAAGCGUGGGGAGCAAACA
Molecule: ribosomal RNA, 427 nt
Filed under: uncultured bacterium
Lineage: Bacteria
Description: partial 16S ribosomal RNA
Rfam family: Bacterial small subunit ribosomal RNA
Source: RNAcentral